GAGUCCGAGCCGCCGCCGCCAUGAGCUGCCCCGUGCCCGCCUGCUGCGCGCUGCUGCUAGUCCUGGGGCUCUGCCGGGCGCGUCCCCGGAACGCACUGCUGCUCCUCGCGGAUGACGGAGGCUUUGAGAGUGGCGCGUACAACAACAGCGCCAUCGCCACCCCGCACCUGGACGCCUUGGCCCGCCGCAGCCUCCUCUUUCGCAAUGCCUUCACCUCGGUCAGCAGCUGCUCUCCCAGCCGCGCCAGCCUCCUCACUGGCCUGCCCCAGGUGAGGUGCAAGGGGCGGGAGGAGGGGGUGGGCAGGGAGUAGACAGGCUGCGUCCGGGGCCCAGGCCUCUGCCACGUCUCCCAUCCCUGGGAUCCCGGGGGGUGUUGCCCACUUUCCCUCCCACCUCCAGGAGGAGGCACAGCCUAUGGCUGUGAGUGCAGACUAGGGGCUCCGACUCACCCGCCAGCCCUGGCUGCACUGCUGUGUGUGGCCUUGAGCAAGUCACCUACCUCCUUGUGCCUCAGUUUCCUCAUCUGUAAGAUGGUGGGUGUAAUGAGAUGCCACUCUAGUUAUGGAGAUUGGCGGGGC
RNAcentral lists this long non-coding RNA (578 nucleotides) under Homo sapiens (human). RNAcentral describes it as "non-protein coding lnc-EIF4A3-2:1". Lineage: Eukaryota; Metazoa; Chordata; Mammalia; Primates; Hominidae. The record is from RNAcentral.